AUGAACGCUGGCGGCAUGCCUUACACAUGCAAGUCGAACGGCAGCACGGGAGCAAUCCUGGUGGCGAGUGGCGAACGGGUGAGUAAUAUAUCGGAACGUGCCCGGUCGUGGGGGAUAACGUAGCGAAAGCUACGCUAAUACCGCAUACGAUCUACGGAUGAAANCGGGGGAUCGCAAGACCUCGCGCGAUUGGAGCGGCCGAUAUCAGAUUAGGUAGUUGGUGAGGUAAAGGCUCACCAAGCCGACGAUCUGUAGCUGGGUCUGAGAGGACGACCAGCCACACUGGGACUGAGACACGGCCCAGACUCCUACGGGAGGCAGCAGUGGGGAAUUUUGGACAAUGGGCGCAAGCCUGAUCCAGCAAUGCCGCGUGCAGGAUGAAGGCCUUCGGGUUGUAAACUGCUUUGUACGGAACGAAACGGUGAGCUCUAAUACAGUUUGCUAAUGACGGUACCGUAAGAAUAAGCACCGGCUAACUACGUG
This 483-nucleotide ribosomal RNA is filed under the name uncultured bacterium. RNAcentral describes it as "bacterial SSU rRNA". It matches the Rfam family "Bacterial small subunit ribosomal RNA", at positions 29 to 507 of the family's 1533-position model. The record is from RNAcentral.